This is a non-coding RNA of Triticum aestivum (bread wheat), 150 nucleotides long. The record is from Rfam. NCBI's taxonomy places the organism in Eukaryota, Viridiplantae, Streptophyta, Magnoliopsida, Poales, Poaceae.
UUUCUACUCCUUCCGUCCGAAAAUACUUGUCAUCAAAAUGGAUAAAAAGAUAUGUAUCUAAAACUAAAAUACGUCUAGAUACAUUACGUCUAGAUACAUUUCCUUUUAUCCAUUUUGAUGACAAGUAUUUCUGGAUGGAGGGAGUAUUUG